GACGAACGCUGGCGGCGUGCUUAACACAUGCAAGUCGAACGGAAAGGCCCUGCUUUUGUGGGGUGCUCGAGUGGCGAACGGGUGAGUAACACGUGAGUAACCUGCCCUUGACUUUGGGAUAACUUCAGGAAACUGGGGCUAAUACCGGAUAGGAGCUCCUGCUGCAUGGUGGGGGUGGGAAAGUUUCGGCGGUUGGGGAUGGACUCGCGGCUUAUCAGCUUGUUGGUGGGGUAGUGGCUUACCAAGGCUUUGACGGGUGGCCGGCCUGAGAGGGUGACCGGCCACAUUGGGACUGAGAUACGGCCCAGACUACUACGGGAGGCAGCAGUGGGGAAUAUUGCACAAUGGGCGGAAGCCUGAUGCAGCAACGCCGCGUGCGGGAUGACGGCCUUCGGGUUGUAAACCGCUUUCGCUUGUGACGAAGCGUGAGUGACGGUAAUGGGUAAAGAAGCACCGGCUAACUACGUG
RNAcentral lists this ribosomal RNA (468 nucleotides) under uncultured bacterium. RNAcentral describes it as "partial 16S ribosomal RNA". It matches the Rfam family "Bacterial small subunit ribosomal RNA", at positions 28 to 507 of the family's 1533-position model. The record is from RNAcentral.